RNAcentral lists this ribosomal RNA (456 nucleotides) under uncultured bacterium. Its description in RNAcentral is "bacterial SSU rRNA". It matches the Rfam family "Bacterial small subunit ribosomal RNA", at positions 340 to 786 of the family's 1533-position model. The record is from RNAcentral.
UACGGAAGGCAGCAGUGGGGAAUAUUGCACAAUGGGCGCAAGCCUGAUGCAGCCAUGCCGCGUGUAUGAAGAAGGCCUUCGGGUUGUAAAGUACUUUCAGUCGUGAGGAAGGUGUUAAGGUUAAUAACCUUAGCAAUUGACGUUAGCGACAGAAGAAGCACCGGCUAACUCCGUGCCAGCAGCCGCGGUAAUACGGAGGGUGCGAGCGUUAAUCGGAAUUACUGGGCGUAAAGGGCACGCAGGCGGUUAAUAAGUUGGAUGUGAAAUCCCCGGGCUUAACCUGGGAAUGGCAUUCAAGACUGGUUAGCUAGAGUCUUGUAGAGGGGGUAGAAUUCCGAUGUGUAGCGGUGAAAUGCGUAGAGAUGUGGAGGAAUACCGGUGGCGAAGGCGGCCCUCUGGGACAAAGACUGACGCUCAUGUGCGAAAGCGUGGGGAGCAAACGAGGAUUAGGAUACC